Long non-coding RNA from Mirounga angustirostris (Northern elephant seal), 6459 nucleotides. RefSeq lists it as uncharacterized. The record is from RefSeq and is a predicted model, not a curated record. Lineage: Eukaryota; Metazoa; Chordata; Mammalia; Carnivora; Phocidae. The transcript is spliced from 3 exons.
GGAAGUGGCAAGGCGGCAGGGCCCGCCCCGGGAACUCCGGAGACCUCCCUCCCAGACCCCCCGGCGCCGGGGCUACCACAUGUUGCUGCCAACUUGGGAGUGCUGGACGAGGGCUCUUCUCUUGACCCUCGGCCCAGGCUGCCCCAACUGUCCUGACCUAACCGGGCAGUGCCCAGAUUUAUGGAUCUCCAGGAGCAUUCCUCCAGCCCCGUCCCGCGACUCCCCAUACCUCCGGGUGCCUGCCCCGGCACACACCUCGGAAACUGAGUCGCACAGGAAGUUAGGGAGCCCGAGUUAGGAUCAGAAGGAGACCAAUGGGUGUGACCUGCUAGAGACAUCUGCCUUGCAGGGGAAUCACAGGUCUUUCAUUCCGCUUUCCUGUUGGUUCAGAUAAGAUGGGACCAGAAAGUGACACCCUAAAAAGACUAUACAGAACAAGAACAAAAGAAGAGUGAAAAGGAACUAAGACAUGAACCUGGAACACUGAGAGAGCUUCAAGUCAGAUUCGUUUUCUGAACAGAACAAAGCUGGACUUAUCUCCUGACUAGAAUAUGGGCUUCAUUCAUGCCUUAUCUUUGGAAUACAAGGCCUUCUCUUCCAUCCAAUGUAACUAUUAUAAUAUUAUGUAAUUAUAAACAGUUGAAAUUUUAAAAGGUAGUUGUCAGGGAGAACAAUGUCUCCAGACAUGUAAGCCAAUGGAAGUUACUCAAGCCUUCAAGUGUAUUCAUAUAUAAACUCACAUGCACGUGGGCACAUACACCAUCCAUAAUAAUGACAGGCUACCGCUAACACCAAAAAUGUAGUCUACACAAAGCCUCAUUUCAAUCUCCCAGUUAAUCCCUAACUUAAUCUCAGAGUCAAGCCUCUACAAUAAAUAAAACUAUCCCCAUGGAGAAGAGGACUAUCUAAGAGAAAGGGAGACAACUGGCCUCGCCUUGUAAAGAAUCUAAAUUUCUAAUAAGAGGAGGCAGAGAGACAGACUAUGUAUCUAUGACUGGGGAGAGAGCUGACAAAGACCAAGUAUCCAUGAUGAACGAGGAGGAGACAGCAUAGAUUAUGUAUUUACAAAAUGAAUGCGACGUAAAUACAGUCAAGGUGGCCAGAGAGUAUUUCUUACCUGAGUAUCCAAAGGAAAUACUGGAGAUGGGGCUCAGGUAGAUGCCUUUGCCAUAGGCUGCUCCAUGCAGCUUGCAGGGAAACACCAGGAUGAGCAAUAUGAGCCUGGGCCCUCCCAUGGCUGUAUAUUAGGCAGCCACAAGGCUUAUCCAGCCCUCUGUCCCUCCAAUUACCUUCUCACUCAUUCAGAUAACACUAGGAACCUACUCUUGAAAAGCUGAUUGGCUGAAAAGUGGCUGCAGAUUAACCCCUUUGUCCUACUAGAUAUUGAUGUCUUUGAAAGUGAGGAGUGGCAGCGCCACUGAGUCAGUCCCUCAGAAUCCAUACUCCUGUCCCCAGGCCUUGGCACAUAUGCAGAUUCCAAAAAAGGAACUAUAGAACAGGUAGCCAAGAGGAGGGACAAUAUGCAUUCCUUGGAGGCUCACAGGCCAAAGAAACAAGUCUUUCAUAUCAAUUCUCUGAAUUGACUGAAUGACAGUCACAUAAAUUAAAAAGCUUUGUCUAACAGGUUAAUUCAUCACAGUGGCUGCAGUUAGCAAUUCAUAUUCCUGCCUAUUACUACAAUCCCGUUCCCGAAACCACCAAAAAAUACAGCCUGGGGUCAAUGAUACAACAGCCACAUUCAUUCUAUACAAACAAUUUCAACCUCUUUCCUAGGGAAGCCCCACAACAGGCUAGAUUUGAGGAUGCUGAGGCAAAAACAGCUGAGUACUCUAGAGCAGCCUUCCCCAAAACUGAGUGGGGCAGGGAGGGGGUGUGGAGAGAAAGGGAAAGGGGCACAGCCUCACCUGCAGUUUGGUGUAGGAUGCAUUGACCAGCCCAUUGCGCAGGAUCGAAUGCCAGUUCUCAAUGUGGGACCCACUGUAAGGCAGGGUAGAAGACAUGUGUCCUCACAGUAUGAGGUUCCCAGAAGCACUUCUAAGACUGCCACUCCCACCCAUCCUCACCCACACAGGACAUGAUGAUAGACACAGAUACACCUAGUGAUGGACACGCACAUGGAUACAGUCACAGGCAUGCAAGAUAUGUGUGUGUGGCUAACCCUCCAUCUUAAUUUCCAGUCCCAUCCUUUUUUCUGUGCUUCAGGUAGUCCCAUCCUAAAUCCCCAAAUGCUGGUUCAGCAUUUUGUCUAUUUUCCUGAUAUUUCAAAGUUAAGUAGAUGCAUCUCACACUCAACAAAUUAUCACUGAUCCCAAAUACGGCUGCCAGUCCUGAUUUGACAUCUAUUUUAAGAAAAGGGCACCACUACGCCCUUCUUAAUCUCUCUCUCACUUUCUCUCCCCUCCCACAAUUCGGCAUAAAUCACUGAUUUCCUUCCAAGUAGCUUUCAGAUCUAUCUCCUCUGAUCUGUUCCUUCAACCACAUCUUUUUAUAUGUAAAUGUCAUUUUUCUUCAACUAUAACAUAAGUAGCUUGAGAGUAAAGACCAUAUCAUAUGUAUCUUUUUACCUUCUACAGCACCUACCAUAAUAAUAAUAAAUAUUUGACUGAUCAGUUAGUGGACAUAGGUAACACACACUCAUAUACCUCAAGUGAAGUUGCCCUCCCAUCCCCCUGAAUUAUUUGUUGUCCUCCCCACCCCCACUCCCAGUCCCCACCCUCCUCACUGGAAGGCAAAGGUGCUGCCAUAGAGCUUCUUGGCGGUCCGGAACCGAGCCUCCUUGGCAGGAGGGCUGCUCAGCAGGAGGAACUGGUGUGAGGUGUGCAUGAACUUCAGCUGCUGCCCAGGGUGGGGGUCGGGUCAGGAAAACAGAGCAGAAAUGGAGAUCAGGGAGGGAAGGGUUGGGGCCAGGGAGCAAAUCAGGCUUGCACUGACCCCAAAUAAAGAGAUUAUGCUUAGGUCCAAAGACUACUGUUGAUGGACAGAGCCAAUGAAACAAGUCUAGGACCAAUGUGGUUAGCUGGUUUGGGGCCCCUCCCUGCCCCUCACCAGAAAUUUCAAGAGUUUAGAAGAAUAGUCACUUACCCUGCUGAGAGGUAGUUUGACAAUGUGUGACCUGUUGCUAGAGAUGAUCCUAGCAUAAAACAGAAAAAAAAGGAAUGGAAAGAAUGAAUGUUUGGCCAGACCAUCCAGAACAAAGCAGCAGCCUUGCUGAACCCCUGGGAGAACAAGCAAGGAUUCCAGGGCUGUCUGCCUUGUGUGAAAUGUUCAGAUCACUAUCUGGGUACUCCUGGGGUGGUAAUGCUCGUGUAGAAAAAUGUAAAAGGGAAGCUACCGACCAGAGACCAGCUAGUUACUGGGUAAACGAUGGACGAAAGACAGGGAUGAAAGGGAGACUGCUACAUCUAGGAAGAGAAAAAGAUAAUACAAAAGGAAGAGUACAUAAGAUCAGCUACAAAAAAAAAAAAAAAAUCAGAAAGCAGGGAUCUGUAUUAGCAGGGUGACAACUUGUACUUGGGAUUUAGAGACAUACAACUGGGGCUCAAGAGCCAUCCCAUCUGAGCUCAGAGGAAGCCUUCAGGGCUCUUGAGGAUGGGGAGGAAUGGAAAGAAAGUUACUGUUUGGGCUGGAGAAAAAAACAGAAGAAACUACAACAAUCUUCUGAGGAUUCAAGGACAAAUUGGGCUGUGUGUCGGCUGAACUCAGAGCACAGGAGAGAACAAAGGCAUAAAACAGUGAGGGCUCAGCAAGGCAAUGUUAUCUCAUGUAGCGGAUACAGUUUGGUUCUUUGGGCUUCACCCAUUUACUUGUGAUGCCAUCCUGGAUAGUCUAUGCCUGAUCACUCCUCAUGCUAUGUGGGAGCAUGCUGCAUUGAGAAAGUACUGAUGUCAAAAGCUGACGAGGAAAAGAGGGGAAAGCUAUGUCAGGAAAACAACAGAAAUCAAGAUCAGGGAAGGAGGGCAGGAGGUGGAGGGCAGUAGAAAUGUUCAGGAUCUUUGUUAGAAAGGAAUAAUAAUAGUGCCUCAAGGCUCUGGACAGUGUACAACAACAGGGAAGGCCUUGAGACGGGGAAAGGGAGUAGAAGAGGGAGACAGACUUCUCUGGAUGCACAGAAAACUGAGCUUUAACAGUACUAAUGCUUACAUACAGAGGAUACUUAAAAACCUACUGGGAAACAACACCUAAAGAGAACCCGAAACAUGAUGUCAGAAUCUGUGAGUUCUUAGUAGGCUCUGAGUUCUUUUCAGGGCAGUAUAUCAAUAAAACCCCAAGAAAAAGCAGCCAGAACAUCUAUAACCUCAGGGACGAUGCUAAAACUGCCUCUAAAAGAAGGUGUAGGUUCCAUGUCUAAUAUACACCCCCACACCUCCCUUCCAAUCCCCGAAGGAUGAACCAUUCUAUCCAUACUACUUACCACUGCAAGAGAGGAUGGGCCAAGGGAUCCAGCUUGUCCAUCUGCUUCUUGAUUUCUAGAUAUGAGCCCUGUAAGACAGAGGCCAUAAAGUUACCUCCCAGGAGAGGUGGGGCCCUCCCACUUACAACAGACUGACUAUCAGGGCCCAGGGCAAGGUAGGCACCGUAGGCCACAGAGAGGCAAGCGGAGAUGGGGUUCCCACCCUCAAGGAGCCCAGUCAGAUUGAGAAGACUCAUAAAUAAAUAUGAAAAUGACUGAAAAUGCUUACAAAACAACAUGCAGGUGGGUCUCCCUCAUUUUAUGCAAUUCCUACAACCCUAAAAAGUUGACUUUAAAUCAAAAAUAAAUAAAAUCAAUGUCCCAAAAAGAUCAGGCUAAGGAAUCCUGUGGUAAAACUUUACAUAAAGCAGAGUCCUUCUGACAAAUCAUCCCUCCUAGGUAUAUCUUAUGUGUUAAUCUGAACUGUGAUAAUAUAGGAUUUGCUGAGAAGAGGCCCACCUGUAAAUGUGAGUACAAAUGAAUGUCUAUUCAUGCAGAGAUUGCAGACGAGGGGUGGGGAAGUCUGGUGAGGGGCAGCCUUGAGUCAAAGGAUGGUCACUGCUCCAUGUGGCUGCCCCACCCCUAGAAGGACAGAAGAUGUAGGCCCCUGGGGCUAGUUCCUUACGUCCAAGCCCCCUCCUCACCCUCCCAACCCUGGGCAAAAGUCUUUCACUCACUUCUCUAAUUCCCUAAGAAUUAUGGGGAAAACAUUAAAUAUGAACAACUUGUGAAGGAAUUGGCAGCAAAGGUAAAGGUUGAGAGAGACAUCAGGAGUGAGAAAGAGGAAUAACAGAGAACAAGGAUUGGGAAGGCUGAAGAGGGAAGACUAAAGAAAAUACAGUGAGGAAUCUGAGUAGCAUUUCUAAAUCUUCACUCCAUUCCCAUGGAUUCCAAGCACAACAGGGCACUUAAGCAGGACAGGCAGAGGGCAGAAUACCUGGGUCAUCUCCCGGAUGGACAUCACACUAUCCAGAGCUUUCUGAAGUCGCUCAUAAUUCUUCUUCUGUGGGGAAUCAAUAGGAAGAGAAGACCCAGAUGAAGAAAAGUAGAGGUGAGUAAGAUGUAAUGAAAAGGGAGGGCCAGAUGUACAAAAGAAGUCUAGGCCCCAGGGAAAUAGCAUGUCAUGGAAAGAACACAGAUUGAAUGUCAGACAGUUCUGGAAUCACCUGCUAGUUCUCUUUUACCAGCUAGAAGUAAUAGGGGAAGUUACUUAACCUCUUAGAACCUCGUAUCCCUGUAUGUUAAUGAAGAUAAAAAUUCCCACUACACUCUCAGAGAUGUUCUGAGGACUAAAUAACAUAUGUAAAGAACCUAUAUAGUGCCUGAUACAUAGCAAGAAGGGUAAUAGUGAGGCACUCUGCUGGGUACUUGUGAUGGUUAAUUUUUUUUUUUAAGAUUUUAUUUAUUUGACAGAGAGGGAACACAAGCAGGGAGAGGGAGAAGCAGGCUUCCCGCUGAGCAGGGAGCCUAACUUGGGGCUCGAUCCCAGGACCCUGGGAUCAUGACCUGAGCCAAAGGCAGACACUUAACGACUAAGCCACCCAGGCGCCCCUUGUGAUGGUUAAUUUUGUCAGUGGUUAAUCAAGUUGAUCUAACUGGGUCAUGGAGUACCUGAACAUUUUGUCAUGCAUUACUCUUGGUGUGUCUGUGAGGGUGUUUCUAGAUGAGAUUAACCUUGGAAUCAGCAGACUAAGUAAAGCAGAUUGCCUGCCCUCAUUUGGAUGGGCCUCACACAAUCAGUUGAAGGUCUGAGGAGAACAAAAAGGCCAAGGAAGAGGGAACUCUCCCUGCCUGACUGCUGAAGCUAGGACACUCACUGGUCUUUUCCUACCUUUGGACUGGAAUUGAAAAAUCUGCUCUUUUUGGAUCUCAAGACUGCCAGCUUUUGGAUUGGAAUUUACACCACUGGCUCUCCUGGGUCAUCAGCUUGCCAACUGCAGAUCCUGGGACUUCUCAGCCUUCAUAACUACACGAGCCACUUCCUUCUAAUAAAUCUUUUUCUAUAUGUA